AGAUCAUAGUAGACAUAUAUGUAUAGAUCAUCAUUAUUAAAUUAUUAAUAAUGCAUUAACAAAUACCUACUAUACUCUACACUUUCAUUUAUUUUAAUUGAUCCUGCUGGAUUUUAUAACCGCCAUAUUGCUAGAUCGAUCAUAUUUCAUUUUAGACGUAUACAGGUGGUUGUCGAAGAUCAAGACGAAAGACGAUCUGUCAGAAUCAUAAAUUUACUUCAUCAAGUAAAUAAGAUAUGUGACGUGUCAAAGA
RNAcentral lists this long non-coding RNA (253 nucleotides) under Polistes fuscatus (common paper wasp). RNAcentral describes it as "uncharacterized LOC122523880". Lineage: Eukaryota; Metazoa; Arthropoda; Insecta; Hymenoptera; Vespidae. The record is from RNAcentral.